GACGAACGCUGGCGGCGUGCUUAACACAUGCAAGUCGAACGGUGAAGCGCCUUCCUUUUUGGUGGGUGUGGAUGAGUGGCGAACGGGUGAGUAACACGUGAGUAACCUGCCCCCUUCUUCUGGAUAACCGCAUGAAAGUGUGGCUAAUACGGGAUAUUCUGGGUCUGUCGCAUGAUGGGUCUGGGAAAGAUAUUGUUUCGGUGGGGGAUGGGCUCGCGGCCUAUCAGCUUGUUGGUGGGGUGAUGGCCUACCAAGGCGGUGACGGGUAGCCGGCCUGAGAGGGUGGACGGUCACACUGGGACUGAGACACGGCCCAGACUCCUACGAGAGGCAGCAGUGGGGAAUAUUGCACAAUGGGCGCAAGCCUGAUGCAGCGACGCCGCGUGAGGGAUGGAGGCCUUCGGGUUGUGAACCUCUUUCGCCAGUGAAGCAGGCCUGCCUCGUUUGUGGGUGGGUUGACGGUAGCUGGAUAAGAAGCGCCGGCUAGCUACGUG
Molecule: ribosomal RNA, 494 nt
Filed under: uncultured bacterium
Lineage: Bacteria
Description: partial 16S ribosomal RNA
Rfam family: Bacterial small subunit ribosomal RNA
Source: RNAcentral